CCUACGGGAGGCAGCAGUGAGGAAUAUUGGUCAAUGGGCGCAAGCCUGAACCAGCCAAGUCGCGUGCAGGAAGACGGUCCUAUGGGUUGUAAACUUCUUUUAUAGGGGAAUAAAGGGCGCCACGCGUGGGGUUUUGCAUGUACCCUAUGAAUAAGCAUCGGCUAACUCCGUGCCAGCAGCCGCGGUAAUACGGAAGGUGCGGGCGUUAUCCGGAUUUAUUGGGUUUAAAGGGGGCGGAGGCCGUAUGUCAAGUGUGCGGUGAAAUUUACGGGCUCAACCCUCUCGUUGCAGUUGAAACUGGUUUGCUUGAGUGAGUGAGAAGCAGGCGGAAUGCGUGGUGUAGCGGUGAAAUGCAUAGAUAUCACGAAGAACGCCGAUUGCGAAGGCAGCUUACUGGAGCUGAACUGACGCUGAUGCACGAAAGCGUGGGUAUCGAACAGGAUUAGAUACCCGAGUAGUC
This 460-nucleotide ribosomal RNA is filed under the name uncultured bacterium. Its description in RNAcentral is "partial 16S ribosomal RNA". It matches the Rfam family "Bacterial small subunit ribosomal RNA", at positions 338 to 795 of the family's 1533-position model. The record is from RNAcentral.